RNAcentral lists this ribosomal RNA (253 nucleotides) under uncultured bacterium. Its description in RNAcentral is "partial 16S ribosomal RNA". It matches the Rfam family "Bacterial small subunit ribosomal RNA", at positions 524 to 776 of the family's 1533-position model. The record is from RNAcentral.
UACGGAGGAUGCAAGCGUUCUCCGGAAUGCUUGGGCGUAAAGGGUCCGCAGGUGGCACUGUAAGUCUGCUGUCAAAGAAUGAGGCUUAACCUCAUCAAGGCAGUGGAAACUACAUAGCUAGAGUACGGUCGGGGUAGAAGGAAUUCCUGGUGUAGCGGUGAAAUGCGUAGAGAUCAGGAAGAACACCGGUGGCGAAAGCGUUCUGCUAGACCUGUACUGACACUGAGGGACGAAAGCUAGGGGAACGAAUGGG